RNAcentral lists this ribosomal RNA (497 nucleotides) under uncultured bacterium. RNAcentral's name for it is "partial 16S ribosomal RNA". It matches the Rfam family "Bacterial small subunit ribosomal RNA", at positions 28 to 507 of the family's 1533-position model. The record is from RNAcentral.
GACGAACGCUGGCGGCGUGCCUAAUACAUGCAAGUUGAGCGCUGAAGGUUGGUACUUGUACCAACUGGAUGAGCAGCGAACGGGUGAGUAACGCGUGGGGAAUCUGCCUUUGAGCGGGGGACAACAUUUGGAAACGAAUGCUAAUACCGCAUAAAAACUUUAAACACAAGUUUUAAGUUUGAAAGAUGCAAUUGCAUCACUCAAAGAUGAUCCCGCGUUGUAUUAGCUAGUUGGUGAGGUAAAGGCUCACCAAGGCGAUGAUACAUAGCCGACCUGAGAGGGUGGGAGGCCAAAGUGGGAACGAGACAAGGACAAAACGACGUCGGGAGGAGGCAGUAGGGAAGAUAGGGCAAGGGAUGAGAAUAUGAACGAGCGAGGGGGAGAGAGUGACGAGGGUGUUCGGAGCGAAAAACUCGGUUGGUAGAGAAGAACGUAAGUGGGAGUGGCAAGCUCAUCAAGUGACGGUAACUACCCAGAAAGAGACGGCCAACUACAUC